CCCUCGCGAGGCUGCCCUCGCAACUCCGCGCGUGAGGCGUCGGACCCGAGCGCGCGUGAACCGCGUGAGCUGAGGGUACCGAGCUCGCGCCCUCCCCUUCCUCCUGGUGAGAUUUGGCGUUCUUUUCCUCCCCCAGUGUGUCUGACGGAGCCCAGGUUGGCACUUUGGCUUCAGCACGGCUAAUACCACAUUAAAUUUGUUGAGAGCCAGCCAAUCCCAAGAUAUGUGAAGAAGCCCACCCAGGAUCAGAAAUUUUAUGUAGCUGAUCUACAGCUGAGUGCAGAGACAUAAGCUAGCCCAGUCUGAAGCCCUGAAUCACCAUGUAAAGCGAUCCAGCUAUUCUACUGGGAAGAGCAUAGAAAGAGAGACACCCUUCCAGCCCUAACUGUUCCAGUCAUCCCAACAGAGUGAAGCCCUCUUGUAUAUUCAAACCCCAGCUAUCUCAGCAGAACAAUUGAACCCAGCUUCCAACUGACCAAUCAGCUGAAUGCAACCAUGUCAAUAACCCUGGUUGGCAACACGCGGAGAAGAAAAUUACUUAGCUGAAUUCUAUCCGAAUCCUUGAGCAAAUGUAAUGGUUGCUGCUAAUUUCUGAGCAGUUUAUUAGAUAGCAAUAGAUAAUGCAGUAUACACAGAAUAAGACAACCACAGGUAGUCUUGGCCUCUACAAGUCAGUAAUCUAUAUUUACUCCUGAUUUAAAUCCUACUAAAAUGGUAAUAAACCAAUGGAUACAGUUUAUGCUUUGAAACAAUAAGAGUUUGUUUCACCAUCCAACUAGCUGUAGAUAAAUGAGGAGUGAGGAAAAUGCCAGAAUGCUGUUCCGAAAGACACUCUAGAGCUGAGGUUCUUCCUUUGAGUAAUCAGAUUAAAUUCAAGUCUUAAUACAAGCCACAUGGUGGAGAGGAAAGAAGACAUGACUAUAAAGCAGUCUUGUUUUUGAUGUUGAAAUGGUGGAAUGUCAGUAUUAAAAACAUUUUCCUUUAUUGUUUUUUUUUUAAGAGAAAAAAAUGUGUAUUGUUUACUAACAUAGGCUACAGAGAAACUUCUACAGACAAUUCUACAGAUAUGGAACAUGCACUUUCUUUUUUAGUACUCCUGUCUUCAUUAUCCUGAUGAGAUCCUAUGCAUUCUUAUAUUCUUAACUGUGAUGAUAGUGGCCAUCAUCAUUGUCAUCAUCGUCAUCAACAUCAUCAUCAUUGUCAUCCUCAUCAUCAUCACCAUGUUUUUCAAGGAGGACCUGAAUCUGAGGCAGUGAACUCAAAGGGAAACAAUGAGGGCACAAAGAGGGUGAUAUAGCAAAGGAGGAAAGGAGAAGGUACAGGAAGGAAUGGAAUAUAAGAACUCUUGGUAAAGAUUUAAAAGAUAGGGGAGUAAGCAUCAUAAAAAUAUGA
This is a long non-coding RNA of Condylura cristata (star-nosed mole), 1392 nucleotides long. RefSeq lists it as uncharacterized. NCBI's taxonomy places the organism in Eukaryota, Metazoa, Chordata, Mammalia, Eulipotyphla, Talpidae. The transcript has 3 exons. The record is from RefSeq and is a predicted model, not a curated record.